This 6993-nucleotide long non-coding RNA is filed under the name Daucus carota (carrot). RNAcentral's name for it is "long non-coding RNA (DCAR_LNC005895)". Lineage: Eukaryota; Viridiplantae; Streptophyta; Magnoliopsida; Apiales; Apiaceae. The record is from RNAcentral.
CCAGGAACUGAUCUUCAGGAAUGAGCAUAGAAUCACCGAGUCUUUGCCUCUUUGGCUCAGGCUCCUCCGGAAGUGGAGGAGCUUCCUCGGGUGGAGGCGGUGGGGGAAUUCCAAGAGGCAUAGGUGGGUGAACCAUAUGCAUCCCAUGCUGGGGCAUGACAUGGGGUGCAUAAGGUCGAGGAGCUGUUAGAGGUGUAUACAUGGGAGUACGUCCAAUACUCCCUGUAUGACCAUCCCAUAUGACCUGCUUUGGUUGCUCAUAUUUUUUCUUUUCAAUCUCUGCCUUGACUGCGUUAGAAACCUCCUCCUCAGUCGUACCAAAUAGAUCAGGACGGGUCCGUGCAAGUCCCAUAAUGUUUUUGGAUAUGUCAUCAUUCUGGGCAAGAGGGGUAUCCCGAAUCUUAGCAAACAUUCUCUCUUUCUGCUCCUUGUACUUGGGAUCAAUGAGAGAGAUUCUCAUGUGUUCAGACAUCUCAUUGAUCAGAAUUAGCUCACCAGUGAUUGGGGAAACAACGUAUUUAGUUGGAUCUCUCUCAGCAGGAUUUCUCUCCUCAGGCCUCUUCCAGUUCUUCACAAUUCUCAUUGGGGUUAUUGUGGCUUCACUUUGCUUACCGCCACCAUUUUCUUCAAGACUAGCAACCCUCAUGCCUUGUUCGAAAAGCUGAACCUCUUCUUCAUCCAUCUCCAUUCCUACUUCCUUUCCAGGCUCAACAAUUUCUUCCUCCUCCAAAGUUAACAUCUUGCUUCUCCUUAUGACUUCCUCAAGUGCCAUUGGAGCUGGUAAAUCAUCAUCCUCGUUAUUCGCAAAGUCUAUCAUCUCGACAACAACAAAAUCAUGCCAAUCAAUAAUCCUAGCCCUCUGUUUCCUUUCUUUCCGCACCUCAUCCAUGAUAUUUUUUUGCCUUGCCUGCUCUUGAGAACAACCACUUCACAGAGAGAGAGAGGGAGAGAGGGAGGGAGAGAGACGAGAGAGAGAGAGGGAGAGAGGGAGAGAGAGGGAGAGAGACGAGAGAUAUGUUCUCCUUGUUAAUUCAAUACGGUGGUUAGAAUAUAUAGACAAGCUGGCCGGAUUUUUCUUUUUCGACACGGAUUGGGCUUUGUAUUUCGAUUCCGCCCAAAAUUUAAGUUCCAUCACAAACAAUAUCGAAGAGGGAAAGAAUUGAUUCAAUCCGAAUUGAUAUCGACUAAGGUUAGAACUUUGCUUUUGCAUCUAUAUAAGGAUCGAGAGAGAAUCAUAGAGAGAUCGAGAGACCAGGGAGAUCGAGAGAGAAUCAUAGAGAGAUCGAGAGACCAAGGAGAUGUCGACUUUACUCGAGGUGACUCGCGCGUAUCACGAGGAAGUCGAACGCCUCGAGCGAACAAUCGUCGAGGAUCUCCAAAACGAUCCUACUUGUCACAGAGACCGUCUUCACCAGAGCCACCGCGUUCGCAGUAUGAUCGAUCAAAUCUCCGCCACUACCUACCUUGACUCUUCUAAAGUCGAUAUUGUGUAACAAAAUAUUUGAAAUUCAUGAAAUUUAGUAGUAUCGCUAUCGGGGAUCAGGAAUAUUUCAGGAUGUAAACAGAUCAUCAAUGCCCCCUCCAAUCAUUGAUCAAGUUGAUGGAGUAACAUGUACAAGAAAUUGUUACUCUAAUCAAUAAUCAACAAGAUUAAUUAGGGUAAUCACAGCCAUAAUAAGCAAUCAUAUAAAUAAAUCCUUGCUUUAACGUUGCCCUUCUGCAAAAGGCUGCGCGUGUUGGACGUGGAGCCUCUAGGUUCAUCACAAGGGUUUUCAUAGACCUGUUCUUGACAAUAUAUGUAGCUAGCUGCUCAAGCACUUCAUCAAUAAUAGAGCAUGGAAUCCAAUAAUAUAUUGUGGAAUUCAAUUACCAAACAAAACAAAAUGAUGAGGUGGAUUAUUGGUUCCUAGAUUACUUUGUUGUUUUCAUGAUGAUUCGAUCCAAUACUUUUUAUUAGACCCAGCAAUUUUUGACACUAACACGACAAACUGACACGAAAUCGUAGAAUUUAUCUAUAUCCAAUAUUUCACGAGUUUCCCCUUCAAACCCCCAAGGCUGCAUUAUACGUCUAAGUUUUAUCAUACAUUGUGUUUAGGUAUGACCAUAACUCAUAAGGCUUCUGUGAAUCUUGGAUAUCUAGAAAAAUAUUGAUUAUACUGUGAGGUUCUUGAGAUGGCUGAGCUCAAAAUUGGCCUAUGACAUCCUUUAACCUAGGGGAGAGCGGAUGUCGGAUCGGUGCGGUUUCUUAGUAAAACCGAAACCGAAACCGCAUACCCUCGGUUUUUAAAAUUCAAAACCGAAACCGCGGGUUCGGUUACGGAUCGGUUUCGGUUUUAAAUAUCUCGGUUCGGUUACAAUUACUUCGGUUUCGGUUUAUAAACCGCAUACACAAAAAUAAACACCGAAAGUCUUCAUUCACUCAAAAUACGAGAAAUUAAUAUUACAAUAUUUGUACUUCCAAAAUAAGAAUUCAAGAUAAUAGAGUAAUAAAAUGCCACAAUCUCAGCAACAGCUUCUCGACUUCGUCUCCAGCCACAUAUUCCUCCUGAAAGGAACAAAAAUGGGAUCAGAUAUCAAUUACUAAUUGACAAUUAGUAGUUUAGUACCAUAUGCAGUAUUGCAGUAGACUGACUAUGCAAGAAUGAGAUGAAUAAUUAGUCUACUUCAACAUAAAAUAAGUCUACUUCUCUGUCUAUGCUACAUAUCCCCCAACAUUUGAUUAUUAGAAAGAGAGCAAAGAGAAAAUAAGUUUUACUUAUGCACACUGUUAUUAUAUUCUGGAAGGGCAAUACGAACAAAGUUACACGCUUAGACUACAAAACAAACAAUAUUUAAGAUUCAGUAAAGCUGACUUAAUUCCUUGAUGGUCCAAAACCAGAAAGUUUUGUCACUCUUAACUUUACAGGAAGGAUAUUACAAUAUAAGCAACCUGAUUGAUGCUGCUGACAAUAUAAUUUAGUCGCGCAAAUCGUGAUCUGCACACAAGCCAGAAUUCUCAAUUUCAAAUGGAAUUAAUAAAAAAGUGCAAAAGGAGAAUGAUACAAUAAAAGAAAAAAAGUCAAGCAUCACUAUUUUAUCUUCUUUCUGAUUUUGUAUCAAUACCUGGAAAGGCCAAAGUAUUUGAGACAGGUCAAUAUUAGGAUAAUCUCAUAAUUACAGAAAAAUCAAGCAGCAAACAUCUAGCCGCCUGAUGUAUAUGAUACUUACAGAAACCAAAAACAGAUUAACAUUGAUGUCCUAAAUUCUCAUACAUACUUACCUUUUCGGAUCUAAUCAUCGAUAUCCAAGUAUUGAAAGGUAUUUCCAGUGACUUUUAGCUCAUCUGCAAAUAAUAACAACGAACAGAUUAUGAGAUUAGGACCAAACCAGUACACAAACAAAAAGCAAUAGAGUGCAAUGACGACAAAGACACAAACAGCAAACAACAGAUUGGAAUGUAAACUAGCUACCAGCACUCCUGCAGAAUGCUCAACAGGCUAAUACAUUUAUAAUUACAGAAGACUGUGAAUUAGGCAGACUGUGCAGAAUGAAAGCAAUAGGCAGACUGUGCAGACAAGUAGACAACUGAAAACAGUAUACAUGUAAAAUCUGAAAAUUUAAAACCAAACUCACCAUUUUCUAACUUCUCAAGUUGUAAAUAGUCUUCAGGUUCCCCUCUUAGAUCAGUGAUAAUUUCUGAAGUUCUUAGCCAGUCUUGGCUACAAAUUAAAGCUUCAACUGUUUUUGGUGAAAGCGAGCUUCGGUAGGCAUCAAUUGUCCUUCCACUAGUGCUAAACGCAGCUUCUGAGGCGACCGAAGAAACUGGCAUUCCCAGUACAUGCCUAGCAAUCUUAGAAAGUAUUGGAAAUCUUGUGGAGUUCAUCUUCCACCAUUCUAAUAUAUCAAAAACUUCACCUUUUCUUUCUCUUGCAUCAACCAAGUAGACAUCAAGUUCCGUCUUUCCCGUCCCUCCUUGAUCUCUAUCAUCCAUGUACUUUUCAAAAUCAUCAUUCCAUGAAUCAUCCGAUUGAUUAGUUUGAAUUUUGGAAGUUGAAUUCCCUUGCCCCUUCAAACUUAAAUUCAAGUAGUAGUCAAAAAGUUCUUGCAAUGUCUUCAAUACUUUGUCACACAUUAUAGAAUUUGUUUUCCAAUAUAGCCUCCGGUCCUCUAAGAAAUUUCUUUAAAUAUGAAAUCGCUUUAUCAUUCGAGGAAGCAUUAUCUAAUGUGAUAGUAAAUACACGAUCUAACCCCCAUUGUGCAAAUAAAUCAAGUAGCAUUUUUCCUAUUGCAUCCCCUUUAUGACUUCCAAUUUGUGGGAAAUUUAAAAUUCUUUUACACAUCUUCCAAUCAUCAUUGAUCCAAUGAGCCGUAAGGCACAUAUAAUUAGUGUUUUGGACCGAUGUCCAAGUAUCCGUGGUAAAGGAGACUCUUUGAUUGGCCAAGCUCUUUUUUAAUUUCACUAGUUCCUCACCAUAUAUCUUUAGGCAAUCUCUAGCAACCGUCCAUCUACUUGGCAUCUUAAAUUUUGGUUCGGCUUCAUUUAAUAACUCUCUAAACCCUUCGUGUUCCACAAUCCUAAAGGGUUGAUUGUCUUUGAUACACAUUAAGGAAAUUUUCUUCCUUAACCUUUCUUGACUAAAGGUGUGUGCUUUAAUCAUGUGAAGUUUAUCUUCCUUUGAUAUUUUUUCAAACCGCAAUGUCUUUUGCAAUUUAUCAAUAUUAGUAUGAAGUGGUGAUUUAGGACAUACCGUUUUCAAAUGAUUCAUCAUUGCCGAUGUACCAUUUCGUGAAAAACAUCCAAUUACCACGUUACACAACCGACACUUGGCCUUUUCUUUACCAACUGGACAGCCUUCUAAUUUAACAAAAUACUCCCAAGCCGGCGAAAUCUUUUUAGUCUUCUCAUCACGCAACUCAUCUUGUUUUUCACCAGUUGGUACCUUUUCGUUUUCCAGAUUAACAUGUAUCUACAAAAUUAACAGGGGUACUGAUAAAUAAUAAGGAUAUCAAAAGUAAAAACAAAAUGACUAAAACUAAACAUAAUAUAAAAGUACACAACGAAGUAGAGUAUUACAGCGGAAAUCAAAUCGAGUCUUACCCCUUCAUCUGUACGAGGAUUUUGAGUUUGUUGCUGCAGCAAAUCAUCAUCCAUACUUUAUCUUCUUAUCUCCUGUCAAUGGAUGCUGGCUUGCUGGGUCUUGCUAUGGAGAUUAGAAAUUAGGUCGCUGCUGUGCUGCUCACUGCUCAGUGCUCACUUUGAUCGAUUGUAAACGAAUUAGGGAUUAGUGUAAAUGGACUCUGAAGGUGAAGGCUGAAGCAACGAAUGUAUCAAAAGCCCAGUUUAAACAUACCCAUAAAACAUCAGUGCUUGGCCCAGCUAGAUAUUAUAACUUUUAGUAUCAGAAAUAUAUGUAAUUUAUAAUUUUUAAAAUUAAAAAUUUUAUAUAAAUUAUAAAUAAUAUAUAUAAAUAUUAUUUAUUAAAAAAUCGGAUCGGUUCGGUUUUUUUCGGAUCGGUUCCUAGCUAUAACCGGAACCGCACAAUCGGUUUCGGUUUUUAAUUUUUCGGUUUCGGUUUCGGUUUCGGUUCGGUUUUAUACGGUUCGGUUUUUAGCGGUUUUUAGCGGUUUCGGUUUCGGUUUUAUUCGGUUUUUUGCUCACCCCUACUUUAACCUCCGAGAUACUGAGAACAUUUUAAUCGCUCAUAAUCAAGUCCCAGAAUCUGAAAUAGUGUUAUCUAACAGUAAGAUAUCUUAAGGAGAUGUUUGCUUUUUUUCUGCAGACUUACAUGGAUUCAGAAAUAGUGUGAUCAGAAUCAGGUCACACAGCAUGAAGCUGCGCCCCUUGAACAAAGCGCAUAAAGAAUACAAGCUCUGAAAUUCUGUAUAAAGCAAAAAAAAUGACGAAGCUUGUAGAUGAUAGAGAAACCAGGCCGCGAUCUCAACAGUACAGCAGCUGAGUUGAGAUUCAUACAACGGACUGGUUAAGUAUUGUAAAAUUUGUCUAGGCUGCACCUUCUGUUGUAUGUUGAUAUGUAAAUGAAGAUAAAAGUCCAUCCUAGAAUGUUCGUUUAGUGACUCUCUUUUAAACGGAAAUCUUGUCAAUUGGAUGAUACUGAACAUAUAUAGGUAACUCUGGGACUAUAAUCAUCAAAUAAAAACCUGAAAAUGUUGGCGGGUGAAACAGAAAAUUUACGUUAGGUAUAAUCACGUUUUUAUGGUUUUUUAAACCAUCACCAAGAUGAUAUAUUUUAAACAGAAAUGAGCAAAUAGGUUGCAGACAUUAAUGAGCAAAUGUAAAUCCGAUUUAACAAUUCCCAACCUCUCACGACGAAUGCUUAUGUAAUUUUCAUAGUCAAAAUUCAGAAGAUCUGCUAACAAAAAAUCUUAUUUUUUUCUACCACCACGCUCUCUCAACGAAAGGGAAAGUGUUUCUCCUCCUGAGACAUUGUAAUAAGCAAGGGAAAGAUGAUCCUUAAGAAAACCAGCCUUUCCACUCAGUUUCUGUUUGUUUGAAGGAAGCUGAAUCUCUCCCGCAAUUUCCUCUUUCAAACGGCUAACCGUCUCAGAUAAAGAUUGUACUCUAAUCUCCAGUACCUGCCCUUUCAGGUUUCCUUCAUCAACAUUUGGCACAGACACAUGAAUACUUGCCGGUCCCUGAGGUCAAAGAAGAAAAAAUCAAUCAGAAAUGCUACAUAGAAUGACAAGUCAGAAUUACUGAAACAGAGAUGCAAGGAAACCUUGCAGUACAAUAAUAAAAUUAAAAGAUACUCCAUACCUGGUGUUGAGCCAGGAACUGAUCUUCAGGAAUGAGCAUAGAAUCACCGAGUCUUUGCCUCUUUGGCUCAGGCUCCUCCGGAAGUGGAGGAGCUUCCUCGGGUGGAGGCGGUGGGGGAAUUCCAAGAGGCAUAGGUGGGUGAACCAUAUGCAUCCCAUGCUGGGGCAUGACAUGGGGUGCAUAAGGUCGAGGAGCUGUUAGAGGUGUAUACAUGAGAGUACGUCCAAUACUCCCUGUAU